UGGAAAGGAGUCUUAUCUCAGAUCCAAGGC
Molecule: non-coding RNA, 30 nt
Filed under: Mus musculus (house mouse)
Lineage: Eukaryota; Metazoa; Chordata; Mammalia; Rodentia; Muridae
Source: RNAcentral